This 163-nucleotide ribosomal RNA is filed under the name uncultured bacterium. RNAcentral's name for it is "partial 16S ribosomal RNA". It matches the Rfam family "Bacterial small subunit ribosomal RNA", at positions 349 to 509 of the family's 1533-position model. The record is from RNAcentral.
CAGCAGUGAGGAAUAUUGGUCAAUGGGCGGGAGCCUGAACCAGCCAAGCCGCGUGAAGGAGGAAGGCGCCAGGCGUCGUAAACUUCUUUUGUCGGGGAACAAAGGGCGCCACGCGUGGCGUUGUGAGUGUACCCGAAGAAAAAGCAUCGGCUAACUCCGUGCC